RNAcentral lists this ribosomal RNA (446 nucleotides) under uncultured bacterium. Its description in RNAcentral is "partial 16S ribosomal RNA". It matches the Rfam family "Bacterial small subunit ribosomal RNA", at positions 354 to 796 of the family's 1533-position model. The record is from RNAcentral.
GUGAGGAAUAUUGGUCAAUGGAGGCAACUCUGAACCAGCCAUGCCGCGUGCAGGAAGACGGUCCUAUGGAUUGUAAACUGCUUUUAUUUAGGAAUAAACCCCCGGUCGUGCACCGGGGCUGAAUGUACUAAAAGAAUAAGCACCGGCUAACUCCGUGCCAGCAGCCGCGGUAAUACGGAGGGUGCAAGCGUUAUCCGGAAUCAUUGGGUUUAAAGGGUCCGCAGGCGGGUAAAUAAGUCAGAGGUGAAAUCCGGCAGCUCAACUGUCGCACUGCCUUUGAUACUGUUUAUCUUGAAUUUUAGUGGAGUGGGCGGAAUAUGUCAUGUAGCGGUGAAAUGCUUAGAUAUGACGUGGAACACCGAUAGCGAAGGCAGCUCACUAACUAUGAAUUGACGCUCAUGGACGAAAGCGUGGGUAGCAAACAGGAUUAGAAACCCAUGUAGUCC